This 104-nucleotide non-coding RNA is filed under the name Clostridium sp. RNAcentral describes it as "TPP sequence". It matches the Rfam family "TPP riboswitch aptamer (THI element)". Rfam says of the family: Vitamin B(1) in its active form thiamin pyrophosphate (TPP) is an essential coenzyme that is synthesised by coupling of pyrimidine and thiazole moieties in bacteria. The previously detected thiamin-regulatory element, thi box was extended, resulting in a new, highly conserved RNA secondary structure, the THI element, which is widely distributed in eubacteria and also occurs in some archaea. Lineage: Bacteria; Bacillati; Bacillota; Clostridia; Eubacteriales; Clostridiaceae. RNAcentral also lists the same sequence under 1 other name. The record is from RNAcentral.
AAACCGUGCUAGAGGUGCCGAACUCGGCUGAGAAAUGAUUUAGUCAUUAACUCUUAUCACCUGAUCUGGAUAAUACCAGCGUAGGGAAGCAGUCUCGACUCGCU